This is a long non-coding RNA of Orcinus orca (killer whale), 6460 nucleotides long. RefSeq lists it as uncharacterized. The transcript has 2 exons. Lineage: Eukaryota; Metazoa; Chordata; Mammalia; Artiodactyla; Delphinidae. The record is from RefSeq and is a predicted model, not a curated record.
CGGCGCGGCCCGACCCAGGCCUCGCGGCCUGCGAGUCAGAGCGACGGUUACGAAACCGGCAGCCUCCGCCCGUUCCGCUGCCGCCGCCAGCGCCACCGGGUUCCCCUCCUCGCCGCGGCCGCGCGCCCGGCCGCGACCGCCGCCGCCAUAACCAAUGGGAGCGCCGGCUUGCGGGGGACGCGCCCUCCCUCCGCGACGGACAGCGCCGCCAGCCAAUCACAGGCGGCCUGGCCGCGGGAGGCGGGCACGUGGCGGAGGCGUAGCCCACUGAGCGGUGGGGCGGGCGAGGCGGGAGCGACGGACUGGGGUUCCUCGGCCUAAUGCGCGGGGCGGCACCCCAGCGGUAGGCGACCCGCUGCGAGAAAGGUUCUGUGAAAGUUGGAGGCAUUGGAGAACCGUAGCCUCGUGAAGGCAACACCUGUCUCUGGAAAACACAAUUUGCUGAGGUGAACAGAUUGAGAGACGUGAACUCAAAAAAAAAUGGAUGGCAAACCAGCCUUAUUUAUCUAAGACGAUUCACAGGAGGAUCUGAAAGCGUAUUACAACUGGGAAGCAGCGCGCUGGGUGGAGGCAGACAGGUUUGAUUGCUUCCUUUUUAGCAAUUCUUAUCGUCUAAAAACUGGAGUCUUUGAAAGAGGAAAGGUUUCUUCAUCACCCAGGCCAUGGCAUCACCUCUCCGCGUAAGACGGUUUCGAGGAAUCAGUAAAGAGGUGAUAAAACAUUUUCGAAAAAAAUAAAGAUAUAAAAAUUAAGAGGGCUGCAACUAAACGUGAACACGGAAUACCACAGAAGCAGACUUGGUAGAAUGACACAAUAUCAUCAAAACCAGUACGUUUCUUUCACGUUGGCCCUUAGUGUUCUUAGUUGAAAUUUCUUUGAUCAAGAUUUUAGCACUAUUAAAACUGGAUUCGAUUUUGUUGCUCACAAAAUUAUAAUUUUACACUCACCAUGUCCUAAUCACUUUAAAAAUUGUAUAGAAAAAAAAAAACACAACCAUAUAGAGAUGUUCAUUUAUCCCCUGGUUUGCUAACCACUCUGCCAAGCUGCUCUGUGUCUGUCUGGGCAGGCCUUCUUCCACACUCAGCGGAUUAGUCAAUGCCAAGGAGACUAGAGUAUUUAUUUCCUCUUCAGCUGGUAGCUGGUAAUUCUGUCUUCUCAGUUUACAAAUAUUUAUUUGGUGCCAACUAUAUGCUAAGCUGUGGGGAAUCAGCAACAAACAAGACAAGCAGUCCCUGUCCACAUGGAGCUUACACUUAGAGGCAGGGAGACAGACAUUCAGUAACCGCACAAUUUUCUAAUUACCAUUUUCACAGCUAUUACAAGAAGGAAGUACAAGAUGCUGCGAGAGAUUAUAAGAAGGGAAUCAAACCUGGUCUGUGGGUUAUGGAAACACUGUAAGAUGAGCAGGAUUUGCCUAGGUGGCGCAGAUGAAGUGCAUGUGCCUUCAAGUUAGAGGGACUGUCUUAUCUAAAGGUCUUGAGAUGGGAGAAACACCUUUCUUUGGCUGAAGCACAGUGCCCCGGAGGAGACUGAUGAGAUGGACAGGGACUUGUGGCCUGAGAAGAGUUCUGAUUCUUACCCUAAGAGAGAUGGGAAUCCUCUGAAAGACUUGCUCUCACCAUAAGGAAAUGAAGAGAGCCUGGUGGAGCUGUCUCUAGUUUGAGGAGAUCCACCAUGUUGUGUCUUGCAAGUCACAGGGACGCAAGUCACUAUAAUCAAAGAAAAAUUCCCUGCAUGGAUCUCUGCCUCACUGAUACCUGCUACGUAGUCUGCAAAUCCAAAGAAUUUGUAAAGAAGUAGUACAUUAAAAUCCCCUCCAAAGGACUUGAGAAGUAGGAUCUCCUGCUAAUUGAAUAGGCUAGUUACCCGAGAGCUACUACAGUUAACUACUUAGUUACCUAACAGGUAUGGACUCUAGGGUCAGGCUGUUCUGUUCACAGCUUCACCUCUUACUGGUGUGUGACCUCAGGCAAAUUACUUAACCUCUCUGUCUUCUGCAAAUGGGGAGAACAGUGUCUAUCCAAUAGAAUUGUUGUGAGGAUUAAGGAGUUGAUAAAAGGGCUCUAGAACACUGCCCUACUGAUACAUGGUAGGAGCUCAAAAGUAUUAGCUGUUAUUACCAUGAUGCUCAUACAUGAAUUAUAAACAAAUUAUAUCCAUAGAAUUGUAAUAGACUAAAAUACACUUCAAAACAAAGUCGUGCUGUGCUUAAUAUUGCUUUGAUGAUUCAGGCACUGAAAUCUUCACAAUAUUGAAGGUGAUGUUGACUCGUUAGGGUAUCUCAAAAGUCGUUUUUAGAAUAAUCCCCUUAGUUACCACAUCUUAUCAUUUCACUUCUUUCCGCAGAGUGGAGAAAAAGUUUAGUAAUUUGAAAUCUCUUACUGUUUGAAAGCCAGAUCAAUAGAUGUUUACUAUGCAUACUUAAGUAUUUAUCUUAAAUGUGUCUUAAGUACUUAGGAUAAUACUUAAGUAUCAUAAAUGUGUAUUUGGAAAAUUUCUGAAAAAUUAAUAUACCAAAUUUACCACCUUUGACAGAUCUGGACUAUAGCUAUAUAGCAUUUUGAGAAUUGAGAUAAUAUCUGUCACAGGUUUGAGUCUCAGUAGAUAUGUUUUCUGGUAUGUUAGCAAUCACGGGACAGUGAUUGGCCAUCAUUCUGCAUUGGUUAGGGCUGUUUUGAUAGGAAGUAACUGAAAACCAUCCCCGAGUAGGCUUAGCAUAAAGAAGGAUUUGGUCAAAGAUUUUAGGGCAUUAUUCUUUCUUCACACGGCCACUAACAGCCUCAGUGUUCACAGCUUUGGUCACUAGAGAAAGGCCUACUCACCUUUUAAGUUCCUGUUACAAAAGUCCUAGGCAAGGACUCUGGGGUUGGUCCAGCUGGAUCAAGUGCUCUUCCCUGGAAUGAUCAAAUGGCCAGGACCAGGUCACGAUGUACUAACAUGGCAGCUGUGGAUGGGAUGGCAGAGGCACUUUCCAGAGGAAAAGGGAGUGCUGAGCAGACGAAUCCAUCAAUAUCCACUUCAAACACCAGCUCACACCGUGGUCACUCUGACAGAGCCUUCUGUCCUUUCCUGUAUCAUAUGAUUCUCCAUCCUUGAGGGCAAAAUUUAAACCUCCAAUUUUACCUUUGGAAGCACUAUUUAGAAUCAUAACAGCUAAGAUGCUAAACAGUUGUCUUAGGACAUCCCCAAAUUUCAUAAGCAGGUCCUGUGCGUGAAAGAGAAAAAUCUGACAUAGUUUAAACUUGAACGGGUGGCAAAUAGGGUGAAUGUCCAUUGUAAAGCACUUUUCCACGUGUCGGAUUUCAUUAUUUUGUGAGUUAAGACAUGUCACCUGUACAUUUAAGGGUAGUACAUGUCAUCUGUGCACACAAGGAUCGGUGUGUACUGUGGUGUGUACCUUGUGAGCACAUGAAGUUAGGUACAGACUGCACACAUGAGGAGAGCUGCAUGCAUCUGUGCUCAUAAGAGUGGCGUGACAUCUGUACAUAUCAGGAGAGGUAAUCCGUAUCAUGUUGUGGGCCUAGGAGGGUCUUAUUCUUAUAUCGUCACCCCACUGAAUAAGCAAUGGUUACCUGUUACAUAUUGAUUGUAAUGCAAGUUAUUCCAGUGCCUAUGAAGCACAAAAUUGAAGAUAAACAGAGGGUUUUUUGGUUUGUCUAUUUGUGACAUGUGAUACCAGUCUCCAUCAUAGUGGUGUGAUGGGUUUUGGAGAUAGAACAAGGUGAUGCUGGCUAGCAUUUACCUAGCUAAACCUCUGUUCCCCAUCUGUAGAGAGGGUUAACAGUAAAUUCCUCAUAGAAUUGUUAUGAGGAUCAAGUAAACUGACAUGAAAAGAAGCUGACGUAGUGCCUGGCACAUAGCAGGUACAAAAUAAUCUGUCCAUCCAAAAAGAAUUUGCUACCUAGGACUCUGUUCUUGGUUUCUAAUAACGUUCUCCAGUAAUAGCACCUGGGCUCCUUGGAGAAAUGGCUGAUUCUAGGAUUGACGCAGGAAAUACACAAGAUGAACCUGGAGCAUCUUGCAAUGCCAGAAAGUAACGAACACUCAAAAAGUAAGACAGUGAGGGUAUGUGUCUUAGCUCAGGCUGCCAUAACAAAGCAUCAUAGACUGGGUGGCUUAAACAGAGAUUUCUUUCUCACGGUUCUGGAGGCUGGCAAGUCCAAGAUCAAAGUGCCAACAAGGUAGAUUUUAUUCCAAGGCCUCUUCUCUUGGUAUGUAGGCGGCCACCAUCUCACUGUGUGCUCAUGUGAUCUUUGUGUGAGUGCUGGGAGAGAGAGAGACAUGCUUUCCAGUGUCUCUUCUUAUAAAGGCACUAAUCCCAUUAUAAGAGGGUCCUCAUGAGCUCAUCUAACCCUAAUUACUGCCCAAAUGCCCAUCUCUAAAUACCAACAUAUUUGGGAUUAGGGGGUCAACAUAUGAAUGUGGCAGGGGAAGGGUAAGACACAAACAUUCAGUCCAAAAUAGCGUGUCAAAGGGGAACAGGAAGCAAAUGGAAGAGCCCCUAAUGCCCAAAGAGUCUUAAUACCAAGUUGAGUGGAAAACAACUAAUGUAGUAUUGAAUUAUAACCCAGAGUAUAAAAGAAAUACCCAAGAGUCCAUGUUGAGGUAAAUAAAUAAAUGUUGGAGAAGAGAUGAGUCUCCCGUGCAGAAGAAUUCCAAAUAAUUUAUGUAGAUGCUCUGCCCUCAGAUGGGGGAGAAUCAUUCUUCACUCCUUAUGUACGGGCUGCACAUAGUGACUUCCUUCUGAAGAGCAGAGCAUGAAAGGGAAAAAUAAAGAGAAACUUCAUAGUGGAGAAACCUGACAAACACUACCUCAGCCAGGUGAGCAAGGUCACCAUCAAUUAGACAUAAGCCAUGUUGCUAUAAUGAGAUGAAAAGGGCACUUGACCUCCCAAGAACUCACGGUAGUCUAACUAUGAGAAAAACUCCACACAAAUUCCAAUAGAAGGGCAUUCUACAAAGUGUUAUCUGACCAGCACACCUCAAAACUGUCAAGGUCAUCGAAAACAAGGAAAGUCAGAGGAAGUCUGGAGAAUCCUAAGGGGAUGUGACAACCAAAUGUAAUGUGGUAUCCUGGGUGGGAUCCUAGAACAGAAAAAGGACAUUGGGUAAAAACUAAGGAAAUACAAAUAAAGUAGGGACUUUAUUGGAUAUUGUAUCAAAUUUAUCAGUCCCCCUUCUAGAGUCCCCUCAGCCUUGGCCAGCACGUCUCCUAGUCUAAGAAACUUACCUGUUGGGGUAACCUUCACCUUCAUUUCCAUGACCUUUUAAGACUUUGGCCGCUGCUCUUGUCCAUUUACCAUCAAGACUGGCAGGGGAUCAGUCACGCAAAAGAAACACUGGACAAAUAAAUCAGAAACUAAUGAUAUUGGUUACCUAUGAGGGGUGGAUGGGACUGAGAUAGAAAGAAUGGAGAGUAGGAAGCAGGUAGGAGGGAUGAGGGAGCGAGUGAUACCUCUGUGAAUAUACCUUUUUGUAUAUCUCUGACUCUGAGAACUGUGGUGAGGUUUCACAAACCCCAGAAACAAAUAGUUAACACUAACCAGGAUGUGGGAGGAACCCAAAAUGAAAUGUUGUACAAACAGUAACCAAUAACCUAACUGUACUACAAAUGAACAGCACAACCACACUGUGGCGAAGGGACUUCCUUGGUUGUCCAGUGGUUAAGACUCCAUCCUCCCAAUGCAGGGGGCCCGGGUUUGAUCCCUGGUCAGGGAACUAGAUCCCACGUGCAUACUUCAACUGAGAUCCCACAUGCCACAACUAAAGAUCCCACACGCAGCAACGAAGAUCCCGUGUGCGGCAACAAAGACCGGCGCAGCCAAAUAAAUAAAUUAAUAUUAAGAAAGAAAGAAAGAAAGGACCUAACCUGAGUAGCUUCAGAACACAGUAUUUUGAUUGGAUAGGCAAAAUACAAAAAGAACUGUACACCGAUGAUAUGCACUAGUUACUAAGUUUUUCAAAGGGGUAUUGGUUAGAAAUUCCGAAACUAUUUUAUGUAUAUGUUAGGACUGAUCAAUUAAGUAAAUACAUUUGGGUAAUGAGAACAGGUUUCUCACUUUGGAGAAAGGAGUUACAAAUAAAAAAAGAGCAAGACUAGAAUGAACCCUGUGGUGUUGGAAUCAGAGGCUAUCAGAAUGAAUUCAUGAUUUGUAGUAUAUUCGUAGAUUGAUAGAUAUAUAAAUAAAUACAGAUGUGUGUGUAGGUGUGUGUGUGUGAGGAUAUAUAUGUUCUCUCUAUGUGUUCUCUGGAUUUUGUUCUCUAAAAGCAAUGACACCCCAGUAGCAAUGAUCCUACCUAGAGACCAAAUGAUGGUUUCUAAAUAUCUUUCUUUAAUGAGAAGAACUAGGGCUCAUUGGAGAAGUGGUUGAUUCCAGAGUUGGGCGGGGAAAAGACAAGAAGAAUCUGGCAUACCUUGUGGUUCCAGGAAGUAAAGAAAUGCUAAAAAAAAAAAAAAAAA